CCUCAGCCUCCUGAGUAACUGAGAUUACAGGACAUAGAGAUGAUGCAGUCCUGCUCUCACAGCUGCUGGUGAGGUGAGAUGCUGGUGAUUCUGUGCACCUCGGGUCCCUGUCAGUUUCGUUCUCUGCCCUGCUUCACCGAGGCCAGUGGACUACACUGUCCAGGCUUUCUUCCCAGCCAGCUUUCAGAACUCCUUUGCUGUGGAUAAGAAGAUUGGCUAGGUCACUUGCUCCAAGUUCAAAGCCUGUUUUCAUAAAACAAUAACGACUUGCUUGUUUUUUGUUUUUUGAGACAGGGUCUUGCCUUUUUAG
Saimiri boliviensis boliviensis (Bolivian squirrel monkey) is the source of this 310-nucleotide non-coding RNA. NCBI's taxonomy places the organism in Eukaryota, Metazoa, Chordata, Mammalia, Primates, Cebidae. The record is from RefSeq and is a predicted model, not a curated record.